RNAcentral lists this ribosomal RNA (496 nucleotides) under uncultured bacterium. RNAcentral's name for it is "partial 16S ribosomal RNA". It matches the Rfam family "Bacterial small subunit ribosomal RNA", at positions 29 to 507 of the family's 1533-position model. The record is from RNAcentral.
AUGAACGCUGGCGGCGUGCCUAAUCCAUGCAAGUCGAGCGGACAGACGAGGAGCUUGCUCCUCUGACGUUAGCGGCGGACGGGUGAGUAACACGUGGAUAACCUACCUAUAAGACUGGGAUAACUUCGGGAAACCGGAGCUAAUACCGGAUAAUAUAUUGAACCGCAUGGUUCAAUAGUGAAAGACGGUUUUGCUGUCACUUAUAGAUGGAUCCGCGCCGCAUUAGCUAGUUGGUAAGGUAACGGCUUACCAAGGCAACGAUGCGUAGCCGACCUGAGAGGGUGAUCGGCCACACUGGAACUGAGACACGGUCCAGACUCCUACGGGAGGCAGCAGUAGGGAAUCUUCCGCAAUGGGCGAAAGCCUGACGGAGCAACGCCGCGUGAGUGAUGAAGGUCUUCGGAUCGUAAAACUCUGUUAUUAGGGAAGAACAAAUGUGUAAGUAACUAUGCACGUCUUGACGGUACCUAAUCAGAAAGCCACGGCUAACUACGUG